AACGAACGCUGGCGGCAUGCCUAACACAUGCAAGUCGAACGAGACCUUCGGGUCUAGUGGCGCACGGGUGCGUAACGCGUGGGAACCUGCCCUUAGGUUCGGAAUAACUCCCCGAAAGGGGUGCUAAUACCGGAUAAUGUCUUCGGACCAAAGAUUUAUCGCCUUUGGAUGGGCCCGCGUUGGAUUAGCUAGUUGGUAGGGUAAAAGCCUACCAAGGCGACGAUCCAUAGCUGGUCUGAGAGGAUGAUCAGCCACACUGGGACUGAGACACGGCCCAGACUCCUACAGGAGGGAGCAGUGGGGAAUAGUGGACAGUGGGCGAAAGCCGGAUCCAGCAAUGCCGCGUGAGUGAUGAAGGCCUUAGGGUUGUAAAGCUCUUUUACCCGGGAUGAUAAUGACAGUACCGGGAGAAUAAGCUCCGGCUAACUCCGUG
This 433-nucleotide ribosomal RNA is filed under the name uncultured bacterium. RNAcentral describes it as "partial 16S ribosomal RNA". It matches the Rfam family "Bacterial small subunit ribosomal RNA", at positions 29 to 507 of the family's 1533-position model. The record is from RNAcentral.